GAGCAUUUUCGAAUGCAGCCUAAAUACUUAUCAUCAUAAAUUUACUAUUGGUGAGAAUGAUGUGAAACCAUGAAAAGUCACAACUCCAGGUCAAGACUUUUCCAACGAUGCCAAAUUUAACCAUGAAAACCCAUCUGAUCAUAUAAAUACACUGGCCACAAAAUUUUGCUUAUUCACUUAAUAAUAUAAAUUUCAGAAAAAUU
Molecule: long non-coding RNA, 203 nt
Organism: Cotesia glomerata
Lineage: Eukaryota; Metazoa; Arthropoda; Insecta; Hymenoptera; Braconidae
Exons: 2
Source: RefSeq, a predicted model, not a curated record